RNAcentral lists this ribosomal RNA (163 nucleotides) under Utricularia calycifida. RNAcentral describes it as "5.8S ribosomal RNA". It matches the Rfam family "5.8S ribosomal RNA". From Rfam's summary of the family: 5.8S ribosomal RNA (5.8S rRNA) is a component of the large subunit of the eukaryotic ribosome. It is transcribed by RNA polymerase I as part of the 45S precursor that also contains 18S and 28S rRNA. Functionally, it is thought that 5.8S rRNA may be involved in ribosome translocation. Lineage: Eukaryota; Viridiplantae; Streptophyta; Magnoliopsida; Lamiales; Lentibulariaceae. The record is from RNAcentral.
GACUCUCGGCAACGGAUAUCUCGGCUCUCGCAUCGAUGAAGAACGUAGCGAAGUGCGAUACUUGGUGUGAAUUGCAGAAUCCCGCGAACCAUCGAGUCUUUGAACGCAAGUUGCGCCCAAGGCGACUUCGCCGAGGGCACGCCUGCCUGGGCGUCACGCAUAC